Long non-coding RNA from Podarcis muralis (Common wall lizard), 2555 nucleotides. RefSeq lists it as uncharacterized. NCBI's taxonomy places the organism in Eukaryota, Metazoa, Chordata, Lepidosauria, Squamata, Lacertidae. The record is from RefSeq and is a predicted model, not a curated record.
UUCCUCUUGUCUCUGUCGGCUCGCGCCUUCCCCGCCCCCCCGCCCGCCCGCCUUGUUGCCGCGGCUGUUUAUUUUCCAGGCCGCUCCAGUUGCCGUGGCAACGGCGGCGGGGGAAUUGAUGGCGGGAUGGAGCGGGAACGAGCCUCCCGUUUUGCCUUGUUCGAUUUGCGUCCUGGUUUUUUUGCCCUGCCUUUCCUUUGCCCGUCCUCCCCUCUCCCACGCGCUCUUUAUCCGCACAACAACCCUGUGAGGUGGGCUAGGGAGACAGAGACAGCGAGCGGCCUAAGGUCACACACAGAGACACAAAAACACCAUGCGGCCCAGCUAGGGUUGCCGUGCGUCCUCUUUUUCCAGGACGCACCCUCCUUUUUAAAGACCUAGGCCACUGACCAGCGGUGCCUGGGUCCACCGCCAGGUUUCCAGACGGGGCAGAAGAACCCUCUUCCGAUGGCAGCACUCAUGUCGAUUUUGAAAGAUGUAAACCAGCGGAACAGGCCCCUUGGCAGACCUCAUUUUGGAUGAUCAAGGACAAUGUGCCAGCCUUGAGCGCCUGCUCCUGCUGCCAACUAGCCACGGAGCACAUGGUUAUAGGUUUGAAGGCAAUGGAAGGUGGGCAGGAGAAUAAAGGCUUGCGUGGCACAUUGGGCACAUGUGACUUACGGGGAGCCAAGUCGAGCCUAGCAAGGUCAAAACUGCAGAAGUCUUGGAAGGCAAUUCCUCUGAGAAAGAGAACAGUUUUCAGCAUUUCAUCAGUGGGAUCUGAGGAGUUUGCAAAAUUGGAAUUCUGCUAUAUCCCAUCCCAGGCCAUUGCCGUUUGUUCCUAAUGUUCCAUUGGAGUCUAUAAAACUAACCUUAACCAUUUCUAUUCUCUAGCUUGUUGUAGAACGAUUUUGCUCAAAUGCCUAUUCCAAAGAAAUAAAUUUGAGAAGCGUGAUAGUUUCCCCCCAAAAUCUUCAUUUGUGACUUCAUGGAAUUCACUAUUUUAUCCAUUCACGUUUCACAUUGUCCAGAAGCGUAACACUUUAUUUUAGCUUUAUAACCUUUGUAUAUUGAGUUUUGAUAAUAAUGGUUUUGGAUUUAGCAUCCAUAUUGUAGUUGAGUUCAGUCACAAGAGAGAUAAAGCUAAAGACUGAAAACACUUGAUUAAAAUGAAUCUAAUGUCUCAAAACAUUGUUGUAUUUCCUUUAGUCCAGGAAAUGCCAGCAACACAUACUUGCUGAACUACACAAUUGUGUGUAGUUUUGCCGUAUCCCAAAGUAACAUUCAUUGUCCUGGGCAUUGCCCAAGUACUUAUGCUACAUCUUGAUUUAUGGUAGGUUGUACUUGGAGUAGACCCAUUAUUAUCAAUGAAUAUGACUAAUUUGGGUCUAUUCAUUUCAGCAUUGGCUACAACCUUGUGUAACCCAGGUAUGUACGUCAUGGGUAUUUGUGGAUACAGCACUGUCACUUGAGGCUUUGGUGGUGAGAAGUGUCUCUUUCCAGUUUCAAGUAGUUCACCAGCUACAACUGUUCCUGGACAGGGAUAGUCUGACCAGUGGUCCAUGCCUUGGUAACUUUCUCUUUUGAUUAUUGCAAUAAAUUAUCCUUGAAGCCAGAGAGUCAUUUAGUGCUGAAUGCAAUUACCAGGUGUUUAAUAGGUAUGGAAAGUGUGGUUCAUAUUUCACUGAUCCUUAAAACAACUGCAUUGGCUGCAUAUUCAAUUACAAGCCCAAUCUAAGGUGCUGAUAUUACCUUUAAAGCCAUAGCUAUAUUGCAACUAAAAACAUGAAGUGGUACCUCUCCCUGUAGUUGUCUGCUGCUGCUUUAAGAUCCAGGGGUGUGGUGGAUUUCUCUGUUAUAAUUUAUGCCUGUACUGAUAGGACUAAUAAAGUCCAGGUUACAAACUUUUGAAGAAAUAAAGCCUUGUGCUUGGGGAAUUUAUCUGGGACCUGUUGCAUAUUGGAGCUAGCAUAUUGGAGCUGAGUUUUUGCUUUCAUUUUCCGUGUGUGGUUAUUGCUUUGAUGAUACAAUCCCUUAGUCUGUUGUAAGCCUUUAGCUGACACUUCAACUAAUGUACACACACACACACACACACACACACACACACACAGUGUCUAUGAUCAUUUGAAAUUCCCAAGGUAGGUAUAGUGUGGGGGUACAGGGGUAUGUGGGUGCUAUAUCACCAGUAUUAGAACUGCUGAUUUUAUACACCUGACCUCAGCUCUCCUUUUCCAAAAAUGGAUUCUGCACUUAAAUGGUGUUGCUUGUAGCUGCUGUUGAGAGUCCCACUGGUAUCUUUAUCCAGAGGCAUGAAGGUCUUCUGGGAAAUCUGAUAAUUGCUGUACUGUUACUCUGCUUUUUGGCUUUGUUUGUUGCUUUGUUUGUUGUAUGUGUAUUAUUUGCUUGGUUCUGUGCACUUUCAAUGUCUAUUCCAAUCAUCAUUUUUCCUUUAUAAUACUAAUAGUCCUGGCACUUGAGUUCUGCAGCUCAAACUGAAUUGAUUCCUGGAUAAUACCAAAAUAGGUUUUGGAUGAGUAAAUAAAAAUAAUAAAAUGUGGGAGGAGGAGUUAUUCUUG